RNAcentral lists this small nucleolar RNA (120 nucleotides) under Drosophila mojavensis. Its description in RNAcentral is "snoRNA:GI25388". Lineage: Eukaryota; Metazoa; Arthropoda; Insecta; Diptera; Drosophilidae. The record is from RNAcentral.
UACCAACUUUUUAGUGAAACAAAAUCGCGAAAAGCCCAUGUAUAAUAUGCCAGAGCAAAAGAAUGAUUGGGUGUCCACAUAACUAAACAUAGUUAAAGUCGGCCAAUAAUCGUUCGGACA